GUAGGGAAUACUGGGUAAAUCUGGACCCUUCCUUGAUUACAAACUGGUCACCAAGGAAGGCCUAGCCCAAACCACCACAACAGGCAACUGUGCUCUGAUAAUACUUUCAAAGAACUCCUACAGAGAACUCCUUUCCCAGGAUCUCACAUUUUCAGAUUUUGAAACAAAACGCCAAAAAUAAAAUGGAAAAAAAAAGUAAAAAAACUCUUCAUCUCUUACUGGAUUUCAGGACAGCCCACAGAAGACCCCACAUCGGAGCAGGUGGACAGAGCUGUGACCCUGUGGGAAGCCCAUGCUGGAGCAGGCUCCUGACAAGACCUGUGGCCCCAUGGAGAGAGAAGCCCACAGUGGAGUAAGGAAAGAAUGUGAGGGAGGAGUCCUCCCACUGAGGAGGAAGGAGCAGCAGGGAUGUCUGAUGAACUGACUGUAACCACUGUUCUCUGCCUACCUGUGCUGCUAGGAGGAUAGAGGUGGAGAAUUCAGGAGUGAAGCUGAGCCCAGGAAGAAGAGAGAAGUGGACAAAGGAUAUUUUAUUUCUCAUUACCCUGCUCUGAUUUGAUUGGUAAUA
This is a long non-coding RNA of Lepidothrix coronata (blue-crowned manakin), 568 nucleotides long. RefSeq lists it as uncharacterized. The record is from RefSeq and is a predicted model, not a curated record. Lineage: Eukaryota; Metazoa; Chordata; Aves; Passeriformes; Pipridae. The transcript has 3 exons.